RNAcentral lists this ribosomal RNA (90 nucleotides) under Acinetobacter sp. RNAcentral also lists the same sequence under 2 other names. Lineage: Bacteria; Pseudomonadati; Pseudomonadota; Gammaproteobacteria; Moraxellales; Moraxellaceae. The record is from RNAcentral.
CACCUGAUCCCUUCCCGAACUCAGAAGUGAAACCUCUUUGCGCUGAUGGUAGUGUGGGGUUACCCAUGUGAGAGUAAGUCAUCGCCAGCU